RNAcentral lists this ribosomal RNA (497 nucleotides) under uncultured bacterium. RNAcentral describes it as "partial 16S ribosomal RNA". It matches the Rfam family "Bacterial small subunit ribosomal RNA", at positions 28 to 507 of the family's 1533-position model. The record is from RNAcentral.
GAUGAACGCUGGCGGCGUGCCUAAUACAUGCAAGUCGAGCGAACGGACGAGAAGCUUGCUUCUCUGAUGUUAGCGGCGGACGGGUGAGUAACACGUGGAUAACCUACCUAUAAGACUGGGAUAACUUCGGGAAACCGGAGCUAAUACCGGAUAAUAUUUUGCACCGCAUGGUUCAAAAGUGAAAGACGGUCUUGCUGUCACUUAUAGAUGGAUCCGCGCUGCAUUAGCUAGUUGGUAAGGUAACGGCUUACCAAGGCAACGAUGCAUAGCCGACCUGAGAGGGGGAUCGGCCACACUGGAACUGAGACACGGUCCAGACUCCUACGGGAGGCAGCAGUAGGGAAUCUUCCGCAAUGGGCGAAAGCCUGACGGAGCAACGCCGCGUGAGUGAUGAAGGUCUUCGGAUCGUAAAACUCUGUUAUUAGGGAAGAACAUAUGUGUAAGUAACUGUGCACAUCUUGACGGUACCUAAUCAGAAAGCCACGGCUAACUACGUG